Molecule: ribosomal RNA, 253 nt
Filed under: uncultured bacterium
Lineage: Bacteria
Description: partial 16S ribosomal RNA
Rfam family: Bacterial small subunit ribosomal RNA
Source: RNAcentral
GACGAAGGUGGCGAGCGUUGUUCGGAAUCACUGGGCAUAAAGCGCACGUAGGCGGCUAAGUCAGUCGGGUGUGAAAGCCCUCGGCUCAACCGAGGAACUGCGCCCGAUACUGCAUAGCUUGAGGUCCGGAGGGGAGAGUGGAAUUCCCGGUGGAGCGGUGAAAUGCGUAGAGAUCGGGAAGAACAUCGGUGGCGAAGGCGCUCUGCUGGACCAUAACUGACACUCAGGGACGAAAGCUAGGGGAGCGAAUGGG